Molecule: ribosomal RNA, 779 nt
Filed under: uncultured bacterium
Lineage: Bacteria
Description: bacterial SSU rRNA
Rfam family: Bacterial small subunit ribosomal RNA
Source: RNAcentral
GAGUUUGAUCAUGGCUCAGAUUGAACGCUGGCGGCAGGCCUAACACAUGCAAGUCGAGCGGAUGANAGGAGCUUGCUCCCUGAUUUAGCGGCGGACGGGUGAGUAAUGCCUAGGAAUCUGCCUGGUAGUGGGGGAUAACGUUCCGAAAGGAACGCUAAUACCGCAUACGUCCUACGGGAGAAAGCAGGGGACCUUCGGGCCUUGCGCUAUCAGAUGAGCCUAGGUCGGAUUAGCUAGUUGGUGAGGUAAUGGCUCACCAAGGCGACGAUCCGUAACUGGUCUGAGAGGAUGAUCAGUCACACUGGAACUGAGACACGGUCCAGACUCCUACGGGAGGCAGCAGUGGGGAAUAUUGGACAAUGGGCGAAAGCCUGAUCCAGCCAUGCCGCGUGUGUGAAGAAGGUCUUCGGAUUGUAAAGCACUUUAAGUUGGGAGGAAGGGCAGUAAGCUAAUACCUUGCUGUUUUGACGUUACCGACAGAAUAAGCACCGGCUAACUUCGUGCCAGCAGCCGCGGUAAUACGAAGGGUGCAAGCGUUAAUCGGAAUUACUGGGCGUAAAGCGCGCGUAGGUGGUUCGUUAAGUUGGAUGUGAAAGCCCCGGGCUCAACCUGGGAACUGCAUCCAAAACUGGCGAGCUAGAGUACGGUAGAGGGUGGUGGAAUUUCCUGUGUAGCGGUGAAAUGCGUAGAUAUAGGAAGGAACACCAGUGGCGAAGGCGACCACCUGGACUGAUACUGACACUGAGGUGCGAAAGCGUGGGGAGCCAACAGGAUUAGAU